This 422-nucleotide ribosomal RNA is filed under the name Verrucomicrobiota bacterium. RNAcentral's name for it is "Verrucomicrobia bacterium partial 16S ribosomal RNA". It matches the Rfam family "Bacterial small subunit ribosomal RNA", at positions 355 to 776 of the family's 1533-position model. Lineage: Bacteria; Pseudomonadati; Verrucomicrobiota. The record is from RNAcentral.
UGGGGAAUUUUGCACAAUGGGCGCAAGCCUGAUGCAGCGACGCCGCGUGAGGGAUGAAGGCCUUCGGGUUGUAAACCUUUUUCGCUCAUGGUCAAGCCGCAGCUUUGGGUUGUGGUGAGGGUAGUGGGUAAAGAAGCGCCGGCUAACUACGUGCCAGCAGCCGCGGUAAUACGUAGGGCGCGAGCGUUGUCCGGAAUUAUUGGGCGUAAAGGGCUUGUAGGCGGUUGGCCGCGUCUGCCGUGAAAUCCUCUGGCUUAACUGGGGGCGUGCGGUGGGUACGGGUUGACUUGAGUGCGGUAGGGGAGGAUGGAAUUCCUGGUGUAGCGGUGGAAUGCGCAGAUAUCAGGAGGAACACCGGUGGCGAAGGCGGGUCUCUGGGCCGUUACUGACGCUGAGGAGCGAAAGCGUGGGGAGCGAACAGG